Molecule: long non-coding RNA, 1091 nt
Organism: Erigeron canadensis
Lineage: Eukaryota; Viridiplantae; Streptophyta; Magnoliopsida; Asterales; Asteraceae
Exons: 2
Source: RefSeq, a predicted model, not a curated record
UUCUUUUCUUUGGUAUCAAAAGGGGCUAUGAUAUUCCUUUAGAAAUUAAAGUGAUUCUGUUGAACUUUUACUUUUCGUUCCAUCAAUUUCGGGAGUAUAAAGUAUGUUUUGUCAAUACGUACGUAUGCAAUGUUUGAUAUCACUAGCCCCUUCAACACCUUGUGUUCAUGAGUUAUUCAAGCUUUAUCAUCGUAAACAUUAGUUUUUUAGUCACUUAACAAAUAUUUGACCGUUUCAGAAGGUUAUAUAAUUAGGGUACUUCCUAAUCAAUUAAUAAUCUUGUUAUGAAAUAAGUUUCUGAUAUGGUUGACUUAAGUUGGAUGCUGUAAAUACUUGAAGAAUAAUAUAAUGUUGAAAAUAUAUUCCACAUAUAGUUUCUUGAUUGUCAAUAAGUAAUUGGUACUAGUAAUAUGGAUUUUUUGGCAUGUAUUUAGACAUGAGAUGUAAUUGUGUAAACGAGCUCGAACAAAGAUCCAAAGACAAGAUGAACUAUCUCACUCAACUACUGAAGCUAAAACUUAAGUUGCAAGUCAGUAAUAACAUCAUCACUGACUUGGAAUGCCUUUGAGAGAAUAUCAGUUGAUAUAUCUGGGUUUGAGCCAAAAACCGCACUAGCUACUGCAAUCACUCCAGGGUUCUGGCUACUCAAGGCAACCAUAGCAACUGCAUACGAGCUUCCGACAUUACGUUGGGUUUGAUGUCACGAAUCCUACUUCAAGCUGGCCUUCCAAGACGGUUAAGAUUUCAGUAGCACGGGGAUGAGUGUGAGGUGGGAUAACUCCCCUUGGUGCAAAGUCGAGCCGGGCAAGUGAGAUCCCUAGUGUGUUUAAUCCUGGUACUUGAAAUACAAAAGCUGGGGUCACACUUGAUCCCAAUGCAUUUGAAGUGUUGCCCAUAAUAUGCAUGCCACCAAAGUAAAAGUCGUUUGCUUGAACCGAACUUGGAGUCUUGCAAGCGAAUCCGUUCACCCGUACUGCGAUAUAUUACACCAAAACAUUAAAGCCUUGCAUCAUAUCUAAAGACUUACUCUUUACUAUCUAUAAAUGUUGCAAAAGUUUCUAAAUGAAUGGAUGUCGUUUCGACAAUAUUAA